This 1018-nucleotide long non-coding RNA is filed under the name Helianthus annuus (common sunflower). RNAcentral describes it as "sRNA HanXRQr2_Chr16g0775081". Lineage: Eukaryota; Viridiplantae; Streptophyta; Magnoliopsida; Asterales; Asteraceae. The record is from RNAcentral.
UUUUGCUCUAACAGCCGGUGGGAAGUCAUAAGUCAGCCAUUUUGGGACCUAUGUAUGCAAAAAUCACACGAAAAAAAUUAAAACUUAUAAUAGUCAAAUGUGUUAUUUUCGAAAUCUAAUGGUGCAGUGAAGUUUCAAAAGGGAUAGUGCCGAGAUUUAGGGGUUGUUUAGCAACAUCUGAAUGGUUAAGUGUUGAACCAGUAAGUAAGAGGUCUGAACCAUUAAGUGCUGAACCAGUAAGAAAGAGGUCUGAACCAUUAAGAGCUAGUAUAAUGCUUAAUCGUUCAGAGGCAAAUGUCUGACCAAUUCAGAUUAGAGGUCUUAACCAUUCAGACUCUAUAUAAUGCUUAAUCAUUUAGAGGCAAAUGUCUGAACCCAUUCAGACAUCUGCUCGCGAAACAAAAAGUCUAAAUCAUUAAGUGUUGAACCAGUAAGAGGAGGUCUGAACCAUUAAGAGUCUUAUUAAGAGGUAAACAAACAGCCCCUUAGAGAGAAAAAGAGAUAUCGAGUCCAAUUUGGCCUUCUUAAUACCAUAAAGGUUUGUCUAUUUGUAUGUUUUUGUGUCACAUAGUGAGAAUACAAGAGUCCAUUAUGCUAACGUGCUAACAUAUGGGCCAAGAACUAUACAGUUUUAUGUAUCAUUAAAUUUUUAGUUUGUCACGUGAAACUAUGUAUUAUUCAAGAAAAGAAUCACUUGAUCAAACUUUGGGCAGAGCAACACAAAUUAGAAAUGUUUGCUGAUAAUUUAGUAAAAUCUUACACAAUGAUGCAUGUGACAAAUACUAGAUUUGAGUAGGGAUAGCAAUUCCUACAUUAAAACGAUAACACGGCACGAAGUUAACAGGUUUCGUGUCUAUAACAGGUCGACACGUUAAGAUCUGUUAAUGACACGUUUAUAAUUUUAAACAAAAAAAAUGUGGGGCUCCUAAUUUUAAAUAAAAGAAUACCGGGAAGUAAAGUUUAUAUAUUUAAUAACAUGUCGUCCGUGUCUUCACAAGUUGUUCGGGUUCGGGUUUGA